Molecule: long non-coding RNA, 1638 nt
Organism: Oncorhynchus tshawytscha (Chinook salmon)
Lineage: Eukaryota; Metazoa; Chordata; Actinopteri; Salmoniformes; Salmonidae
Exons: 3
Source: RefSeq, a predicted model, not a curated record
UGGUCUGUUUUGUCAAAGAGCUCAUCAUAUUCCAAACACUGGUGGUAAUUAGAUGAUCCCAAUAAUUAAGGUAGGAAACGAUUGUAUGUUCUAUUGCGAAAUGUCUGGGUCUUGAUCGUUGUUUCCCUGUUUACUACUCAAAGAUAUUUUGCUUAUUAAGUCAAACGAAAUUAACUGCAAUACACUGAUCUCAAACAUAUUAGCAUAACUAGGCUACACAGAACCAUUGCGGACCCACAGUAAAAUGAGUAUUUUUAUCGUGUUAAAACAUGUCCCGGUCCAACAUGCCUAGCUCUGCCCACUGGGACGUGGCUUACGGAGCGCUCUCUGAAAUAAGAGCUCGUAUCUCGAUUCUGCCAGAUCGAGUUAUCACACAGGUAUCCAUAAUAAUAAUCACCCUCAUCGGCAACAUCUCCGAAUUUUAAUCAUUUCCUUGACCUCGGAUGACUUCAAACCGUAAGAAGGUAAUCGUGGUCGACUACAUUGGAUCAGCUGGACCGUCCACCACCCAUUUGUCAUAACAAACGGCAAUGUCAUUCUCAACCCUGGGAUCCGUGGUGGAGUUCUACAGGAGAUCCUCUGGAAACAUGGUGUAAACUAGGCGGUGGAAUGGGACAGUGCUGAGACCAAUGCAAAGUCAAUGGAGACCCUGAGACCAGAGCUGUCCGCUCCAUUGGAGGUAUCACAGCUGAUCCUCAACAGACAUCACAUCCACAUGCCUCAAUGUGGGCUGAGCCCUGGGGAUGACGACCACUCAGAAGAGGUUCCAGAGAAGACAAUAGGACCAGCCACUCUGAAGAGGACCCAGAGAAGGCAGUAGGACCAGCCACUCUGAAGAGGACCCAGAGAAGGCAGUAGGACAAGCCACUCUGAAGAGGACCCAGAGAAGGCAGUAGGACCAGCCAAUCUGAAGAGGACCCAGAGAAGGCAGUAGGACAAGCCACUCUGAAGAGGACCCAGAGAAGGCAGUAGGACCAGCCACUCUGAAGAGGACCCAGAGAAGGCAGUAGGACCAGCCACUCUGAAGAGGACCCAGAGAAUGCAGUGGGACCAGCCACUCUGAAGAGGACCCAGAGAAUGCAGUGGGACCAGCCACUCUGAAGAGGACCCAGAGAAGGCAGUAGGACCAGCCACUCUGAAGAGGACCCAGAGAAUGCAGUGGGACCAGCCACUCUGAAGAGGACCCAGAGAAUGCAGUGGGACCAGCCACUCUGAAGAGGACCCAGAGAAUGCAGUGGGACCAGCCACUCUGAAGAGGAUCCAGAGAAGGCAGUGGGAACCAGCCAUUCUGAAGAGGAUCCAGAAAAGGCAGUGGGACCAGCCAUUCUGAAGAGGAUCCACAGAAGGCAGUGGGAACCAGCCACUCUGAAGAGGACCCAGAGAAGGCAGUAGGACCAGCCACUCUGAAGAGGACCCAGAGAAGGCAGUAAGACCAGCCACUCUGAAGAGGACCCAGAGAAGGCAGUGGGAACCAGCCACUCUGAAGAGGACCCAGAGAAGGCAGUAGGACCAGCCACUCUGAAGAGGACCCAGAGAAGGCAGUAAGACCAGCCACUCUGAAGAGGACCCAGAGAAGGCAGUAGGACCAGCCACUCUGAAGAGGACCCAGAGAAGGCAGUAGGACCAGCCACUCUGAAG